Non-coding RNA from Poecilia reticulata (guppy), 511 nucleotides. The record is from RefSeq and is a predicted model, not a curated record. NCBI's taxonomy places the organism in Eukaryota, Metazoa, Chordata, Actinopteri, Cyprinodontiformes, Poeciliidae.
CUUCAAAGUAAAAGAAAACAAAGAGUGGAUGAGCCGUGCAGAACACAAAGAUAACCAGAGAGAGGAAGCGGCAAGAGGACCUGGAGCUAAACGGGGACGGACAGCGGAGUGGUUCAGAGACGGCUCCUUCCUGCCAUACGUUGCGGAGGAAUAAAGAUUAUAAAAGUGGGAAAGCAUGAAGCUAAUUGUUCCAGCUCUAUCAGGUUCCACGGAGAUUGGAAGUAAACAAGUCCUUCCGCAAAUCCUCUGUCGGAUUGAGGUCCGGGCUUUGACUGUGCCGCUCCGGAACGUCCACCUUGUUGUCUUCAACCCAUUUCUGUGCAGCUAUAUGUCUUUUUUAAAUUUUUUUCUGUCUGUAGAAAGCUGCAGAGCAGCUGUGGCUACAACGUAGCUUACCAUCACCAGAGCAUGAAAGCGAACGUGUGCUUUAAUAGGUGAAUAACUGAAUGUAAAGUGCUUUGGGGGUCUUCUGGUCUAAAUAAAGCACUAUGCCAGUACAGGCCAUUUACCA